UGCUAUGGCCAUGCCACCCUGAACGAGCCAAUCUCCUCUGAUCUCGGAAGUUAAGCAGGGUCAGGCCUGGUUACUACUUGGAUGGGAGACCACCUAGGAAGACUAGGUGCUGUAGGUG
This 118-nucleotide ribosomal RNA is filed under the name Pteropus alecto (black flying fox). Lineage: Eukaryota; Metazoa; Chordata; Mammalia; Chiroptera; Pteropodidae. The record is from RNAcentral.